AAGGCGUAAUGAUUUGGGCGCUGUCUCAACAAUAGACUCGGUGAAAUUUAAAUUCCAGUGAAGAUGCUGGGUACCCGCGACAGGACGGAAAGACCCCGUGGAGCUUUACUGUAGCUUGAUAUUGAAUGUUUGUGCUGCAUGUGCAGGAUAGGUAGGAGACUUUGAAGUCGGAACGCUAGUUUCGAUUGAGUCACCCUUGAGAUACUACCUCUGUUGUAUGAACGUUCUAACUCUGAUCAGUUAUCCUGAUCGAAGACAGUGUCUGGCAGGCAGUUUGACUGGGGCGGUCGCCUCCUAAAAGAUAACGGAGGCGCUCAAAGGUUUGCUCAGAAUGGUUGGAAAUCAUUCGUAGCGUGUAAAGGCAUAAGCAAGCUUGACUGUGAGACUGACAAGUCGAGCAGGUACGAAAGUAGGACUUAGUGAUCCGGUGGUUCCGUAUGGAAGGGCCAUCGCUCAACGGACAAAAGCUACCCCGGGGAUAACAGGCUCAUCUCCCCCAAGAGUCCACAUCGACGGGGAGGUUUGGCACCUCGAUGUCGGCUCAUCGCAUCCUGGGGCUGUAGUCGGUCCCAAGGGUUGGGCUGUUCGCCCAUUAAAGCGGUACGCGAGCUGGGUUCAGAACGUCGUGAGACAGUUCGGUCCCUAUCCGUCGUGGGCGCAGGAAAUUUGAGAGGAUCUGUCCUUAGUACGAGAGGACCGGGAUGGACAUACCUCUGGUGUACCAGUUGUUCUGCCAAGAGCACCGCUGGGUAGCUACGUAUGGAUUAGAUAAUCGCUGAAAGCAUCUAAGUGAGAAACUAACCUCGAGAUGAGAUUUCCCAUUCGUCAGAAGUAAGACCCCUGAGAGACGAUCAGGUAGAUAGGCUAGAAGUGGAAGUGUAGUGAUGCAUGGAGCGGACUAGUACUAAUAGGUCGAGGACUUAACCAAG
RNAcentral lists this ribosomal RNA (929 nucleotides) under Oenococcus oeni. RNAcentral's name for it is "bacterial LSU rRNA". It matches the Rfam family "Bacterial large subunit ribosomal RNA", at positions 1996 to 2925 of the family's 2925-position model. Lineage: Bacteria; Bacillati; Bacillota; Bacilli; Lactobacillales; Lactobacillaceae. The record is from RNAcentral.